UGCGCACCAGAAGUGUUUUCCUGCAUAUGCCGACGUUUAGAGCCAAGAGCAGCGUGCGAGUUGCCAGGGAACAAGCAAAGGUCCCUCUUUCAGCAUCCACAGAAGACAGACUAUGCUGGAUUCCAGCUGUACUGCUACUGAACUGUCUCCUACUCUCUGGGCAAUGGGUAUAAAAGUCCACCGUUCCAGGAUGUGCCUGAUGUAGCUCCCCACACCUGACAAGG
Molecule: long non-coding RNA, 224 nt
Organism: Lepisosteus oculatus (spotted gar)
Lineage: Eukaryota; Metazoa; Chordata; Actinopteri; Semionotiformes; Lepisosteidae
Source: RefSeq, a predicted model, not a curated record